RNAcentral lists this ribosomal RNA (868 nucleotides) under Microbacterium hydrocarbonoxydans. RNAcentral describes it as "bacterial SSU rRNA". It matches the Rfam family "Bacterial small subunit ribosomal RNA", at positions 56 to 935 of the family's 1533-position model. The record is from RNAcentral. Lineage: Bacteria; Bacillati; Actinomycetota; Actinomycetes; Micrococcales; Microbacteriaceae.
UGCAAGUCGAACGGUGAAGCCCAGCUUGCUGGGUGGAUCAGUGGCGAACGGGUGAGUAACACGUGAGCAACCUGCCCCUGACUCUGGGAUAAGCGCUGGAAACGGCGUCUAAUACUGGAUACGAACCACGAAGGCAUCUUCAGUGGUUGGAAAGAUUUUUCGGUUGGGGAUGGGCUCGCGGCCUAUCAGCUUGUUGGUGAGGUAAUGGCUCACCAAGGCGUCGACGGGUAGCCGGCCUGAGAGGGUGACCGGCCACACUGGGACUGAGACACGGCCCAGACUCCUACGGGAGGCAGCAGUGGGGAAUAUUGCACAAUGGGCGGAAGCCUGAUGCAGCAACGCCGCGUGAGGGAUGACGGCCUUCGGGUUGUAAACCUCUUUUAGCAGGGAAGAAGCGAAAGUGACGGUACCUGCAGAAAAAGCGCCGGCUAACUACGUGCCAGCAGCCGCGGUAAUACGUAGGGCGCAAGCGUUAUCCGGAAUUAUUGGGCGUAAAGAGCUCGUAGGCGGUUUGUCGCGUCUGCUGUGAAAUCUGGGGGCUCAACCCCCAGCCUGCAGUGGGUACGGGCAGACUAGAGUGGGGUAGGGGAGAUUGGAAUUCCUGGUGUAGCGGUGGAAUGCGCAGAUAUCAGGAGGAACACCGAUGGCGAAGGCAGAUCUCUGGGCCGUAACUGACGCUGAGGAGCGAAAGGGGGGGGAGCAAACAGGCUUAGAUACCCUGGUAGUCCACCCCGUAAACGUUGGGAACUAGUUGUGGGGUCCAUUCCACGGAUUCCGUGACGCACCUAACCCAUUAAUUUCCCCGCCUGGGGAGUACGGCCGCCAGGGCUAAACUCAAAGGAAUUGACGGGGACCCCCACAACGGCGG